AGAACGAACGCUGGCGGCGUGGAUAAGACAUGCAAGUCGAACGCGACUUAUUUGGUUAGCAAUAACUAGAUAAGUUGAGUGGCGAAAGGGUGCGUAACACGUGGGAAUUUACCAAGAAGUGGGGAAUAGCUCGACGAAAGUCGAAUUAAUACCGCAUGUGAUCGAAAGAUCAAAGUCGGGGACCGCAAGGCCUGACGCUUUUUGAGAAGCCCGCGGCCCAUCAGCUAGUUGGUGAGGUAAUGGCUCACCAAGGCUAUGACGGGUAGCUGGUCUGAGAGGACGACCAGCCACACUGGAACUGAGACACGGUCCAGACACCUACGGGUGGCAGCAGUCGAGAAUUUUUUCACAAUGGAC
This 357-nucleotide ribosomal RNA is filed under the name uncultured bacterium. Its description in RNAcentral is "SSU rRNA". It matches the Rfam family "Bacterial small subunit ribosomal RNA", at positions 26 to 376 of the family's 1533-position model. The record is from RNAcentral.